RNAcentral lists this ribosomal RNA (440 nucleotides) under uncultured bacterium. RNAcentral's name for it is "partial 16S ribosomal RNA". It matches the Rfam family "Bacterial small subunit ribosomal RNA", at positions 338 to 795 of the family's 1533-position model. The record is from RNAcentral.
CCUACGGGAGGCAGCAGUGGGGGAUAUUGCACAAUGGGGGGAACCCUGAUGCAGCGACGCCGCGUGGGUGAAGAAGCGCCUCGGCGCGUACAGCCCUGUCAGCAGGGAAGAAAAUGACGGUACCUGCCGAAGACGCCAAGGCUAACUACGUUCCAGCAGCCGCGGUAAUACGUAGGGGGCAAGCGUUAUCCGGAUUUACUGGGUGUAAAGGGGGCGCAGACGGCGAUGCAAGCCAGGAGUGAAAGCCCGGGGCCCAACCCCGGGACUGCGCGUGGAACUGCGUGGCUGGAGUGCAGGAGGGGCAGGCGGAAUUCCUGGUGUAGCGGUGAAAUGCGGAGAUAUCAGGAGGAACACCGGUGGCGAAGGCGGCCUGCUGGACUGCAACUGACGUUGAGACCCGAAAGCGUGGGGAGCAAACAGGAUUAGAUACCCCUGUAGUC